RNAcentral lists this ribosomal RNA (1394 nucleotides) under 'Dendrocalamus strictus' phytoplasma. RNAcentral describes it as "bacterial SSU rRNA". It matches the Rfam family "Bacterial small subunit ribosomal RNA". Lineage: Bacteria; Bacillati; Mycoplasmatota; Mollicutes; Acholeplasmatales; Acholeplasmataceae. The record is from RNAcentral.
UGCAAGUCGAACGGAAACCUUCGGGUUUUAGUGGCGAACGGGUGAGUACACGUAAGCAACCUACCCUAAAGACGAGGAUAACCAUUGGAAACAGUGGCUAAGACUGGAUAGGAAGAUAAAAGGCAUCUUUUAUCUUUUAAAAGACCUAGUAAUAGGUAUGCUUUAGGAGGGGCUUGCGCCAUAUUAGUUAGUUGGUAGGGUAAUGGCCUACCAAGACGAUGAUGUGUAGCUGGACUGAGAGGUUGAACAGCCACAUUGGGACUGAGACACGGCCCAAACUCCUACGGGAGGCAGCAGUAGGGAAUUUUCGGCAAUGGAGGAAACUCUGACCGAGCAACGCCGCGUGAAUGACGAAGUACUUCGGUAUGUAAAGUUCUUUUAUCAAGGAAGAAAAGCAAAUGGCGAACCAUUUGUUUGCCGGUACUUGAUGAAUAAGCCCCGGCUAAUUAUGUGCCAGCAGCCGCGGUAAGACAUAAGGGGCAAGUGUUAUCCGGAAUUAUUGGGCGUAAAGGGUGCGUAGGCGGUCUAGUAAGUCAGUGGUGUAAUGGCAACGCUUAACGUUGUCCGGCUAUUGAAACUGCUAAACUUGAGUUAGAUAGAGGCGAGUGGAAUUCCAUGUGUAGCGGUAAAAUGCGUAAAUAUAUGGAGGAACACCAGAGGCGUAGGCGGCUCGCUGGGUCUUAACUGACGCUGAGGCACGAAAGCGUGGGGAGCAAACAGGAUUAGAUACCCUGGUAGUCCACGCCGUAACGAUGAGUACUAAGUGUCGGGUUAAACCGGUACUGAAGUUAACACAUUAAGUACUCCGCCUGAGUAGUACGUACGCAAGUAUGAAACUUAAAGGAAUUGACGGGACUCCGCACAAGCGGUGGAUCAUGUUGUUUAAUUCGAAGAUACCCGAAAAACCUUACCAGGUCUUGACAUGUUUUUGCAAAAUGAUAGUAAUAUCGUGGAGGUUACCAGAAACACAGGUGGUGCAUGGUUGUCGUCAGCUCGUGUCGUGAGAUGUUAGGUUAAGUCCUAAAACGAGCGAAACCCUUAUCGUUAGUUGCCAGCACGUUAUGGUGGGGACUUUAACGAGACUGCCAAUGAUAAAUUGGAGGAAGGUGAGGAUCACGUCAAAUCAGCAUGCCCCUUAUGACCUGGGCUACAAACGUGAUACAAUGGCUGUUACAAAGGGUAGCUGAAACGCAAGUUCUUGGCCAAUCCCCAAAAACAGUCCCAGUCCGGAUUGAAGUCUGCAACUCGACUUCAUGAAGUUGGAAUCGCUAGUAAUCGCGAAUCAGCAUGUCGCGGUGAAUACGUUCUCGGGGUUUGUACACACCGCCCGUCAAACCACGAAAGUUGGCAAUACCCCAAAACGGUAGCCUAACUCGUUUAUUCGAGAGGGCGCC